GUGUCAACACCACCUUUGGAACAAGCAUAGGCGACUCCACCGGGUAACAAACCUCGGUGGAGACCCGCGAUGGACGAUACGUUUAUUACUGAGCCGCCGCGUUUUGCGUCACGCAUUAGACUGCAGACGUAUUUGGAUACUAACCAAGGUCCGGAUAAGUUGGUUCUGAAGACUGUGUUCCACUCGUCUUCAGUCAGAUCUAAACUCGUCUUGACAUUGCCUCUGAUUCCAGCGUUGUUGAUCAACACAUCUAUCUUUCCGAAGAUGUCCCAAGCUUGUUUGACCGCUUUUUGAAUGGUGGCUGCGUCUGAUGAAACGUCUAGCUCGAGCGGUGCGGCUAAUUGGAUCCCGGUUGAACUUAAGCUGUUGAUUUCAGAGCAAAGAGAUUCGAGACGGUCGACACGGCGAGCUGCUGCGAUAAUCUUACAGCCAGCUUUGCCCAGAUCAAGACAGACUUCUCUUCCUAUACCAGAAGAAGCUCCGGUCAGAAGAACCACUUUGUCUUUAAGCUCGCACCAUGGCUCUAGUUGCUUCAACAUCUGCUUCUCUCCCAUUAAAAAGAAAACAAACAAAUUUCUUAUAAGAAAAGGCAGUAAAUAUAUGAAUGACUAUUUCCAUGAACUAUAUAUAUGAUGAAAAAGAUAACCCAAAUAAUUCAAGAUAACAUGAGAUCUUAUCAAGUUAUAGUAUCAGUAUGGGUAUGUAUUCAAAACCUUAUCUUAUAAAUCUGCAUUGAAAAGGAAAGAGUGUGAAGGGAGUAAUGAAAAAUGAGAGAGAGAAGAUAAUAGAUCUCACCGUGGUUUGAUGAUUGCUCAUAUUACUUUCUCUGGUGUGUGUUCAGCGAAGAAGGAGAAGCCCGUAACACAUACUUAAAGCCCUUCUUCUCCGUUUUAAAUUAAAACGACAAUCUAAGUUAUUUAACGUGGCUAUCAAGAUCUGUAACUGAUUUUGUGUACUUACCAAACUAAUUAGGUUUUCUGAAUCUAUUAUAUCCAAUUCAUUUUUUUUUUCUUGUCAACUAUAUUAGAUCUGAAUGCAAAAAAGAUCUGUUCUCACUCUUUUUUGGAAACAAGCUAAAAUAAUAGUACUAUAAAUGACUUUUGUAAUCACGAGUACCACAUGGACGACGACAUAAUAAUGACAUUAUUUGAUAGUAGUAUGAGUGGAAAAAAAAAGAAGAGAAAUUGCAUCCAAUAACAUCUAAAACACUUUAAUUGACCAAAUAACCAUAAAGAAACUAUGGCUAUGAUAUAAUAAUAUAAUCUAUAUUAUCAAGCAAUUAGACGAAAUUUCUCUUUUCCAUUUUAUCAUACCCACUCGCGAUUGAUAUGAUUAUAGUAGAAAAAAUUUCAGGUCAAAACUCAGUUUGUGGAAUGUAAAUGGACUUCGGCAGAAUAAAAACGCACCGUGGUGGUGAUCUAUCUUUCGCUCUCUCGUUAACGGCGAUUAAAAUUAAAUGAAGAAUUGAAGAUCGUUCUACUGUUUUGCUGACAAAUCUGCGGAAUGCUUUUUUUUUUUAAACUGAUUUAUGCAUUAAAUUAAAAUAGAGCAGUAAAAGUGAUUACAUGAUCAACUUUAGAAUAAAACCCGUAAGUAUUGAAAUCUGCGGAAUGCUAACCUCUUUUAAAGUUGUUUUUUUGUUUGUUUGUAGUACUCAUGACUUAGGGAUGAAAAAUCAAAUAUCUGAUUGAGAAUGAUGAUAAACAGUGAUUUGUAUUGCAUUGUCUAUUCUAUAUUUAUAUAACAAAUAUAAUAGAAUUUAUAAUUUAUAGUCGUACAAACAAUUGUAUGUCAUUGAUUUGAAUAAAUUCAUCUAGAUUUUAAUGACCAAAACUAUGAUUUUCUUUCAUAUUUUCUUUUUUUUGUUCUUCUCAAACAAACAAUAUAUGAUUGAUUAUAAUAUAUUAUUAAUAUCAUAUACUAUUUUAUGCUAAAAGUAUAAUAUACUAUAUUACAAUACUGGGCAAUUCUCUCAAAUAUCUUUUUUUUUAAGUUUUUGUCACAAAAAAUAAUUUUAAAAGUGACCAAAAUAACCCUUUUUAUUUUGAAAAUUUUAAUAUUUAUUUUUGUUUUUAAAAAUUUGAAACCAUAUCUCCAAAACUCUGCCCAUUAACUCUAAACUCUAAGUUUAAAUUAGUUAAUCCUAGAAUAAAAAUUCAUUUUUAUUAUUUAAUAAAAUUUAUCUUGGUCAUUUUUUUCAUUCACAACUAUUUUUGUGACAAAAACUUUAUAUUAGAAAAUUUCUGUACAAUAUUUCUUUGUCUUAUUCUUCUAUUUGUUUUCUUCACUAUCCCCCCCCCCUUUUCUGUUGUUUGUUUUGAUUUUCCUCACUUCUUUCUUUUGUUCUUUUUUCACCCUCUUUUCUUCUUUCUUUUCCAUCUCUUUCUUAGCGUAUUUCUAGUUCUUUCUUUUCCAUCUCUUUCUUAAUGUAUUUCUAGUUCUUUGGCUUUAUUCUUUUCUUCGUCCGCUUCCUCUCUUCCUCCUCCACUUACGUCUUCUAUUACAUUUCCUCUGUUUUUUCGAAAUUCUUUUAUAUAAUAUACUAUUCAUUCCGUUUCUAAAAGAUCUGUACGUAUUUCAAAAUUUUCACAUUUUGUAAUAAAACAUAUUUAAAUUUAGCUAUAUAUACAUAAUUUUUUGUAAUUAUAUAUUUUCUAUAUUUUUAAACCAAUAAAUUUUUAAAAAUGCAAUUAAUGUUCUUGAAGUUCACAAUUUUUUAUUAUUAGUUGACAAAAAUUACAUUGAAAAAUAUAAAAUAUGUAUCUAUUAGUGAUGAACCUAACUCACACCAAAAUCUAGCUUAAGAGUGGAAGAUUGUCCAAACACAUAUAUAUUGCCCAAGGAAACUAAUCCCACACGAUGUGGAACAUCUAAUAGUAUUUUUUUUAAACAAAAUUUUUCUCUAGAAUAUAGAUUUUUAGAAACGGAUGGAGUGUAUAUUUAUAAUUGUAAUAAUAGAAUAGAUAUGCGAUUUCAUGUUAAUAUAAAAAAGAAUAUAUUUGAUAUUAAUUGAUUGGUCUAUAAUUUUAUGAAGAGAAAGUAUGUAUGUGAAGAAAAUGUGAAUGUAUUCACUUAUUAGUACAUAUUAGUAUUACACACAAGAUUUGAGAGUCAAAGAGAAGAAAAAAUGGGCAAGCCAGGCACUGUAGCUCCAGAGUCAAGGAUGUAUGUAUUCCCUGGAAACAUAUCGAUACGAGUCAUGAAUGAGAUAGCGAACCAGCGAGGUAAGCCCAGGAUCCACGGUCUGUUGCACCUUUAACGGGAUAGUCCUCUCGGUCACGUUCUUGAGCCACUCUUUUUGCAUAAGACCUUGCGUGAUCUCUGACUUGAGAAGCCCUGGUGCGAUAGAGUUCACUCUUAUAUUGUACUUCAGAUUAUAAAGACAAAUAAAUCCAAUUGUACUUCAGAUUAUAUUAUAAAGACAUAAUAAACAUAUGAAGGACGUGUACUUCAAAACCUUCUCUGAUAUGUUUUUGCAUAAAAUUGGAAAGAGUGAAGGAGCGAUAAUAGAUCUCUCCCUUGUUUGAUGAUUGCUCAUAUUACUUCGUUAGUGUGUUCUGCAGAAGCCCAUAACACACCUGUUCUAGAGAUAUAAAUCAAAACGACAACUUAACGUGGCUAUCAAAAUCUUUAACUAAUUUUGUGUAUUCACCAAACUAAUAGGUUUUCUGAAUCUGUUAUUAUUGCAUGCAUAUAUCUAACGAUUUUUUUUGUUAGGACUAUUAUUAGAUCAUGACUUCAUGAGAUCCGAUUCAAAAGACUUUUCUUUUCUCUAUGUAAACAAACUAAAAUAAACCUUAGUACAGAAUAGGGUUGGACGGUCGUGAAUCCGUUCAGUUUUGGCUCAAAUCUAUUCGAAUAUUGUUUUUUCAAGAUUAGAAAAUUAAGUCUCAUUUAAAUAUUUAAAUUUUAGGUUCGUCUUACGAGUUUGGUUCAGGUUCGCAUAACCAUUAGAUUAUGUAAACGUUUCAAAAAUCCGAAUAUAUUUAAAAAUUAUUAAAACCCUAAAAUGAAAAUAAUAUAAAACAUACAACAAUAUAUGACCAAAUGCCAAAAAUUGACAUGAAAAUUAGCUUGUUUUGGAAAUUAGGAUGGAGAACAUGUGACUAUUUUAAGAUAAAUUUUGACUAUAUUUGGAUAGUUACUUGUGAUUAUUUGCCUAUAAAUUUUGGAUAUUUUAAAUUAUUAUCAAUAUUCUGAAGAUAAUAUAUAUAUAUAUAUAUAUAUAUAUUGUAGUUUAUAAUUAUGAUUCAGAUAUUUUUAGAGUACCUAAAAUAUUUUGGUUUGAAGGUUAGUUUCAACUAAUAAUAUCUAAUUUUUGAUCAAUUCAGAUAUUUUACUAGUUUCAGUUCCUGUUUGGUAUCACUUUUUGGAUUAGAUUUGGUUUGGUUCUUUGGAUUUAAAUAUUUUACAAAGCCUAGUAGUACAGCUACUUUGCACAUGUUUUUAACAGAAAAUAUCAAAAAUAAAUUAUUAAAAAAUAAUAAAUAUUUUAGUAAAAAUAAAUAAAAUAAGAGAUUGCAAAACAGAUUUUUAUUUCAUAAAAUGUGAGAUAUUGUUUGUAUAAAUAUUGACCACUCAUUAAUAUGCAACUGGUUUUUUUUUUUUUUUUUUACAAUUGGAUUUAAAAUUGGUUAAACUAUUGGUAAGAUUUAAUCCGUAUAAUAUACCACGAAAUAGAAAUUAGAACAAGAUGAGAAAUAAAAAUAUAUAUAUAUAUAUUCGAAUUCAACUAUAAAGCAGAAUAAAGAGAAACAUAAUAUCUUUCUCUAGCAAAACUGAGACUAAGGAAGACAAGAAUUCUGUUUUAACUCCAAAAGUAAACUGACAGAACUCAGAUGAUAGUAGCUUUAGAUAAUUCCGAUUUUGUUAGCCACCUCCAAAGCAUCAUAAUCAGGAGUCAAUCUCACAUAAGCCUUCUUCGUUCCAUCAGGCCUGCAAACAAAGCAUUUCACUCACCUCAUCAUCCAUGUUUUAUAUUAUAAACCCAUCUCUCUAUAAAGAAAUUUUUGCUUUCAAGAAUGUAUGUACCUAAUGAGGGUAUUGAAUUUCUUGGUCUGAAUGUCAUACAUCUUCUUGACAGCAUCUUUGAUCUUCUUCUUGUCAGCACGAAUGUCAACAAUGAAAACCAAGGUCUUGUUGCCUUCGAUCUUCUUCAUUGCAGACUCGGUGGUGAGUGGGUACUUGAGGAUUUCGGAGUGGUCCAACUUGUUCCUUGGAGUGGUACUGAUGCGUGGGUAUUUGGGGUCUCUAGCCUUUGUCAAUGUCUUUGGCCUGUGGAAUGUCACCUUCGUCCUGAUCUUCUUCGCCUUCUUCUUAAUGAUUUUCCCUGAUUUUACAGCUUUCACAGCGUUCAAGGCCUUGGCCUUUGGGUCAGCCUUCUUAGUGACAUCAACUGCAACAACAACAACAACAAUGAGAAAUGGAGAUUUGAAUCAAAUUAGAAUUUGAGACCAAAAACUUGGGACAUUUUUCUAACUACAGAAAACUCAAUUAUACAUGUGUAUAAUUCAAAAAUCAAACCAUAAACCCAAUGUGACUCACAAAGACAAGCAAAACUCAUUUAAAUGCAAAUUAUAGACGAUGUUAUUAUCCAUUUCAACAAAGAUUUCUGCUAGUAACAGGACAUAUUCAACAGUUUACACAGCGCAUUAAGCUUUCUCCCAUUGCAAAUCAAUGUAAACGGUCCAAUUAAUACAUUAAUAAUUUAAUGUUUAGAUGAUGCAACAAACUUUAUACUAUGAUAAUAAUAAAGUAUAAUAACAUAGCGAGUUUUGUUUAUGAUAAAAAUAAUAGAUCUAACACACUUUACUCCGAGCGGGAUUACGAACAAUAAUUUAAGCUAAUUUUUCAUUAGUCAUGUCAGUAAAUUUAGAGAGCAUUUUCCUACGUGGCAUUGAGCACAUUUGAGUCAUUAAUACACGUCAUAAAAGGUUUUGAAAAUCGUACCGGUUUUGACCGUUGACUCAUUUAGCAAGCCGAGUCUGGUUCGUUUCAAAACCCGGAUUUGAUAAAAACAGGAAAACUUGGUUCAAAAUCAGUGACCCGGGUAGACAUUAAAACAUGGGUUUUGAUACAUUUUACUUUUUCCACUCAUUUUUUGGUCGCCAUUUAGAGUCUAAAUAGAAUAAUCCUUGAUAUUGAUAAUAAGUUAAGAAUAUUUAGGCUCUAAAAGGUGACUAAAGAAAUGAGUAGGAAUAAUAAAAAAUUUAUCAUUCUUUACAAUUUAUACAAUUUACAAGGAAUAUUUGUUAUCAGUAUAUUUUUUAUCAUUCCUUACAAUUUACACCAUCUACAAAUUACUACUUUUUAAGAAUGUAAAGAAAACGAAAUGUCAUUAUCUAGAUAAUACAAUUGAAUAAGUUUGAGAUAUUUUAUCAUUCUCCAACAGAUUUUUUAUUUAAUUUGUCAUGUUUUCAUUUAAUUCAUUAUGUAUUCAUGAUUUAGUUAUUAUUUAUCUGUUUUAUGAUAUUCUUUCUAGAUAUUAGCCAUUAGACAAUUUGACCAGUCUAAUGACAGUGGUGGAAACAUUCAACUUAUGCGGACACAGAAUUUCACUCGAUGCGAAUUAACCUUGCAUUCGGAAGUAGAAGUACUGCAAUCGGCGAUGGAGAAUAUGAUUCAACAUUCGACAUGUCAGAGCUUUGUAACAGACUGUAAGAAGCUGAUUACAAUGAUUAAGGAACCUCAUGCUUAGCCAAGCUUUGCGACAGAAUUAGAGAGGAUAGAGACGCUGCAUAUAUGUUUCUCGGACUUCAAUAUAACUCAUGGACCAUGAGCGUACAACCAGAUUUCUGAUUUUUUAGCUAAAAUUGCUAUAACUUUCCAUAGGGAAUUACAUUUUAUUGAUUGUUCUUUUUCGGUCUGGUUACCUAGACCACUUCAAGUUUAAGUAAUAGAAUGGCCACUCAACCAGUACGCCGAGUAUAUUCGGUCAUGUUUUUAAAACAUUGACGUCAUAUUUAGAUCCAAUUAAAUUAUAACGUUUUUAUCUAAACAUGUUCUCAGUCAAUAAUAUGAUUGACGAUACGUGAUUCUACAUAUUUAUAUAUUAUUUUAUUAUUUUUCUAACUGCUAAUUGUAUGAUUUCCUUCAUUCAUUACCAUGCCUACCCUACCCUUCAUGUUUGUUUUACUGAAUUAAAUUAAAUAAUUAAAUAAAUCAUGUUCAAGUGGGGUUUAUAAAAUAGAUUUAGGGAAACUGCCAAAAUGAUUAAAAAAAAACUUCAUUUUAAAUGCAAAAGUAUAUCCCAAAUUCAAUCAAAUGCAUAGUAAUCCAAAAUGCUAGUAAAAUUACAAUCAACCUCUUAUGAACAAACAAAAAACAGUAUGCAUUUUUACGUAUAUUAAUACCCCGGGAAUUUUUUUGUAGUUUUGUAGGUUUUCUAUAAGAAGACUCCUUGGAAGUAUUCUGUGAGAAGACUCAUUGGAAGUCUUCUAAAGUAGUAGAUCUUAAAAAUAAUUUAUAAAUUUUAUAAAAACUAUUUUUAUGGGGAAAAAUUAAAAUCAUUUAAUUGUAAAAAUUAUUAAAAAUAAAAAUUAAGAUCCAUUAAAUUUGAAUUGUUUUCAAAUUUCAACAUAGAUGUAGAUUGAGUCAUGAAAAAAUUAAAAUCAUGCAAUUAUAAAUAUUAUUAAAAAUAUCUAUUUUAAAUGUUUUAUCAUCUUUGACAUUCCUUUUUUCACUAUUCAUAACUAUUUUAUUAAUUGUCUUUAUCAUAAUAAUUUAACAUCAUUUAUUUUACGUGUUAACCAUAAUAAUUUCACAGGAAUAAAUGCAACUAGAUCUUGACCUAUGCACCCACACAGAUGUUUUGUUUUAAUUGUAUAGACAAAUGAAAUUCUUCACAACAUAAAAAUCUAAUGGUUUCACAAACACACAUAUAUAUGCGCGUUUUGAGUAUUUGUAAUACAUAAAAUUUAUGAUAGAUUGACGGUUUUUAAUAGUCUGUUUUUUUUAUUGCUCAUAUUACGGUUUGAUAUAAAACCAAUCAAAAUGAUAUAUUAUAUAACAUAUUCGUAUAUUAAUAAAUUAUAGUAACCAUUUUUUGAUGUAUUUAUUUAUAGAUUAAAGCACCUAUAAUUAUGUUUAUGUAAAUCAAUAAAUCCUUAUUUGUAAACAAAAGAAAUAAAUUUAUCUUUCCAAAAUAAAAUAAAAAGUUCUUUCCUUUUUAAUAAGAUAGAUAGAUAUGUCUCUAAAUUUUUUUAUAUGCCAACUAAAUUUCACUUCUAUGUUUACUUUUGAUGAAAUUUUUUAAUUGAAAUUUAUUUUUUGCAUUAUUAUACUUCAAAAAUAUAGGUGUUAAUUAUAUUAAUCAUCAAAUUAUUUAACAUAUAUUUGAAAAUUAACUUUGUAUUUUUAAUAAAACAUUUAUAGUUUAUAUUUUGUUUGUGAAAUGAAAUACUAAUUUAUAUAUUAAUUAAUAUGUAACAUUUAAAAUUUGUAGUCACAUUUAGAUAAAUCUAUUUAAUUUUAUUGUAAAACUUGGUUAACGAAUAAUUCGGUUAAAGAAUAAUCGUAGGUUUAGUAAAUAUAUUAAGUUUGGUUAGAGAAAUUCUACCAAAAUAAAUGAAAUGUGGUUAAUUAAUUAAUUUUUGUAAGUUUGGCUAUAAAAGAAUCUAAGAAAAUAAUGAUUUGUGGUUAAUUAAUUCAUAUUUAUUAAUUAAGUGGCACAAUUUGUAAUUAUUAAGAUGGAAGAAGGGUUAUUUUCAAAAGACGCUUCAGUUUUAGUAAUACUAGAUCCUUUCUCCGCGCGGAUAAUAUAUUUAAAUUUGUUACAAUUAUCAUUUUUAUUUGUAUGUGAAUUUUUGUAUAUUAAAUUAUAUAUAACUAAUUUUUAAAUUUGAUUUUUAUAUAUAUUUUUAGUUUGAAGUAAGUAUUUCUAUUAUAUGUAACACAAUUAACUAAUAAAAUAUAAAGAAUCAAGUCCGAGAUUUUAGAGUUAUGUAAAAAAUAUAUAAUUAUGUAUAGAACAUAAAUUAUCUUAGUUUAAAAGAUCGGAAUCUCAUCUCGAAUAAAUUCACGAAACGAAAAAAAUGCUCCAAUAACCUACAUAAAAUAUAAAACCCCCUUUUCAAAAAAAAAUGUACUUAAUAAUAUUUUUUUACGUGUAAUAGUUGAAAAAUGACAAUUGAAUAUUGAUCUAGAAUUUUGUAUUAUUUUAAUAAAUUUAUUUUAUUAACAUACUAUAUUUUUUAUUCAUUUAUUAUUUUGACGUUACAAAAUAUUGCUUUAUUUUUAUUUGUAUAUUAUUUUUUUAAUAAUUUAUUUUCUUUUUAAGUAAUUUUGAAAUUGUCAAGAAUAUAAUAUAUUUAAAAUUAUUUAUUUAAAUAUAUCCAAAUAUGAAGUCUCAUUUUUAUGUGUUUAUGUUGAGCAUAUUUAAUUUGUAGUUUGUAUAUUUAAUAACACAUUGCUGCGUGUCGUUCUAUGGUUUUAAUACAUGUGUUGUCAUUUCAUUUUUAUUAAUACAAACAUGAUUUUUUUAGUGAUCAGUGAUAAUGUACUUUUAACGUUAUGUAUUAUAUUGUAUCGUAUAUUUUCUAACUCUUCAUGAUGACACUUUUUUAGAAUUAUUUUAAUUAGAUAAUAAAACUUAGUAUGUUGUAAAUUUAGACUUUUUAGUGUAACUGAGCACUAUCAAUUAUAGAAAUUAUAUUAUAAUUUUAUUUUACUAAAUCUUUCUUUAUGUGUAUAUUUUUUGUUUUAUUUUGUAUUUUUACAAUUUUAUUGCCUUAUUCUUUAAUUGCAAAGAAUUACUAUUUCCAAAUUUUGUUUCAUAUACCUUAAAAAUCUUCGGUUGAUUUUUGGGAUCAAACUAAUGAUAGAAAAGCUUAAACUCCGAAAAUUGAGUGAGUAUUUGUACUACAGAAAAAUGAUUUAGGCACUAAUAUACUGAGAUAUUAUCACUUAAAGCAACAAUUGAUAUUAACACAGACCAAACACAAACGGAUGCUUUGUGUUAAUUUAUUUGCUCACCUUUGCGUUAACGACACACAUCACUCUAUUUUUGUACUUUCAGGGAUGGUUUCAAAAGAUCUAACCACUGUUGAUCUACAUAACAUGAAAAAAAAGUCAACUUCAGACGACAUAUUUGGUUGGUAAAUGAAUUUAUAAAGAGAGACCUUGUCUUCUAAUUUUUUUUACCUUCGGUAACUCACAUCUUCACAAGAGGCUCCUGACAAAGAAACCCAAUCCAUAUCAAAAGCUGCACACGUACACUGGUCACCACCACGCCUAUCAUCAUUAAAGCAGAAGCAAUCGUUUUCAAGUAUCUCGUCUAAACCUAUAUCCUCCAAUGUCGCUGGUGGAGCACUCCAAACACACAAACACAAAUUCAUUCUCCAUAAUUUAGUUGACAACAACCUAAUGUAAAACAUUUAUUUGACAGUUAUUUUACCUGAAACUACCAGCAAUCAUGGCAGUUGUUUUAGAAGUUGAGAUGAUCCCAGGUGCUGAAUCUGAAAGACCUUUAAAAUCUUCAUCCUUCUCACCUAAACCAUGUCUACCAGCUACUGUACUACUGCCCUCACUAAGGAUGCUACUUUCUGAUAGAGAUCGUUUCAUCGUAGACCUAAACGCAUGGGGAAAAGAUGUAAUGUAAGUAACAUAACCUGUUUCAAACUACUCUACAAGUGUAAAGUACCUUGAGAUCUCAGGUACAGAACUGGCAAGAAACCUUGCUGCAUUGUAAUGCUGAUCAGAACCCAUUUCCCAUAGAGCUGGCUUAUCUAGUUGUGGCUGAAAGUAUCCCAAGAACCUGUAGUAAGUGACACAUCAGAUACAUUUUUCAUACCAGAUGGCUUAGAGAGAGAAAAGAUUAAGCCAGCCUACAAGUUAAUCGCAUCUUGCUUUUCAGCAUCCAUAUAAGCGUUACUGUAGUAACGUUGUAAUGUUCUGAAUAACCUUGUGACUGAGUAGCCGCUUUCCACUGACCACGCCUUUCACAAAAUAUCUAUCCACAGAAAAAAAAAAAUCAUUGCAAGGUUUAAUAAGGCAACAAAGUAAUGGCCAAAGAAGCUAAGAAAGGGACCUUGUUAUGUGCUGCGGAUCCUCCAUACUGAAGCGCAAGAGUAUCGCCCAUUGUCUCAUAUACUCCCAUCAAAUCUUCAGCCAGAGGAUUAUCUAGAUCAAUAGUAGUAGACUGUCAAUCCCAAAGCAUGGAGUUGACGCCCAAUUGCUACCAAACCGUAAGCGUACUGAGCAACAUUGGUGCGGUCUAAACAGUCUAUGCAGUUAGUCCUCAAGACUCCUUUCUGAAGCAUGGUGGCUUCCUUUUGCGGAUCCUUGCUGUCAUUACCAUUCUCCACCGCUGAGUCUGAUGCAAUCUCAUCUUUAGUGGGAUACCAUAAUAGAGUCAAGCCUCAAGUCAAAAUCUAGUGAUUUUUUUUUCAAUUAAAAAAAUGGUAAUGAACAUUGACCACAUACUUCAUCACGAACAGCUGAAGCUUCCCGCUGAUACCCUUUAUGUCUCGAACGAACCAACGGUACAUCACCAUAGUAUCUGAACCAAAAAAAAACAUUAAAUUUUAAUGAAUCAAGCACAACAUCAUAGUUAGUAUCUUUUUCUUUCACCUGUUAUCUCUGUCUUUAUAGGGAUAAUCAAGUGGAGGUUUCAACGACGCCUUAGGUGGCAUCCAAACCGGAGAUGCAUUCGGAGCUAUAGAUCUACCGAACACUGAUGAUGAUGACCUUCCUGUCGACGAAGAACGCAAGCGUUUUGCUCCAUGAGGUAUCUGCUUAUCUAAAUUCAAAUCAACGAAAAUGAAUCCAAAUCUCAACCUCAUAAUCAUCAAAACGAAGCACACAGAUCAUACAGGUUCCAAUCUUUCAAGCAGAAUUGGACUUCCAAUAUAACACACAGUGUUUAGAGAUUAUAUGCUCAGAUAAAAAGAAAAUAAGGGAUAAUUGGCAUACCUGUAGUCGAUGAGGAGCAUCUCAAAGCAAAUAAAGGUUCCACCUUUGCAAUGUUUCUGGCUUCCCAGAAGUGGAUCAAGCGAAAUCAGAGCUCUGAUUUGGCUGGACCUGAUGAGAUGUUGUUGAAGUAAAAGGCGAUGGGAGAUCUGCCCGUGUAGAGCUGACUUUUUCCAGCCGAUUCCUCACCACCAGUCUUAGCUAACCCGGGUUUCGUCGGCUAUGGUGUUCAGUGGUUGGUCAUCACCAACGUAUGAAUCUCUAUAUUCCAGGAAAAGUUUAGAGGAGUGGAAAGAGAAUUGAUCGUUCGCGAUAAAGACUUGUGAAACGUAGUAAAAGGAGAAGAGGAAGAGAAAGGGGAUCGACAGAACGAAGGGGAGGAAGAGAAAGGGGAUCAAAGAUUGAUUUUGAUAAAUUAGGGUUGUUUCUUCCCGUAAAGGGGAAAAGGAGACUUCAGCGAGAAUGAACUUCGACGUUUAGAUUCCGAACAUUAUCGGGCCGUUAUGAUACGAAGCCCAAAUGUCAUGCCCAGUGCGUCUGACAUGGCACAUUGCUAAUUUUCUAUUGGCUGAUUAUAAUUGAGGAUGUGGAAGCAUGAGAGGAGCCCUUAUUCUCCUUUUAGUAUUGUACUAGAUUUUUGACUCGCGCUACGCGCGAGUUUAUUUUAAUAAUUUGUAUCAUUUUAUACUAAUUUUAAGAUAAUGAAGUACAAUUGGUUAUAUGCAUUUUUAUAUGAAGUUUUAUUCGAAGUAUGCUUUAUUAUUUUUUUAUUUAGAUUUUUUUUAUACAAUUAUAGUCUUUAAAAAACUAAUAUUUAGAUAUAUUUUUUUGUAUAUGUAAAUGCGUAAGUGUAUUUAUAAACAUGUUUAUAUUGUUUAUUAAUAUUUUUAUAUAUUUUUUAUUAAUCUUAUUUUAAAAAUAUAUAUUGAUCAUUUUAUUCAUAUUAAAAAAUAAUACACUGUUAUAAUAAUUUUUAUUAUAAUUGUUUUAUCUAUUUGAAAAACAUAAGAACUUAAUGUAUAUGCACAAUAUCUAGCUUUACUUUGUAUUAACCAAAUUUUUACAAUGAAAGAAAACUUAUUAUAUAUUUUUGUGAAUAUCUCUAUUUGAAAUAAUCAUCCUGAAGUCGCUUAAAUGCAUAUUUGUUUGUAUUAUAUUUAGAGUUAAAUCAUAAUAAAUAUUUUUAUGAAAUUUAAAUAGUAAUAUUAUUUUAGAUAUAACAAAAAGAAAAAUAAAUAUAUACAACUUUAAACUAAUGUUAAAUAAUAUUUUAUUUAUUAUAAUGAAUAUUUUUCAUAUCUUUAUUUUCUGUUGUCACUGAGAGCGUGAGACUAUACUCUAAUGUCAAUAUUAUUUGUAAAUAUUAUUAGAAUUUUAAACUAAUAUACUUUAAUUAUUAGCCUCUUUGAUUAUUUUAUGUUGUCAUAUGUUUUAAUAACAUUUUGUUUCAAGUAUCUUUCAUUGAUAGAACUUGGUGAGAUCAUUUUUAAUUUUAUAUGUUAUGUUAAUUGCUUUAAUAAAUUUUCAUAAGCAUAUGUCUAUAAAUUCUAUCGGUGAAUUACACUAAAGACUUAUGAAAAGUCACCAUAUAGUUUGCAUAAUUUUAAUGACCAUAUUCAAAAAAGCUUAUUGAUUAUAAAAUAUUUAGAGUUUUUCUUAAAAACAUAUUUGAUUGGUUUAAUGAAUAUUUUGAUAAUGAUUUUCUUAUAAACAUAUAUGUCAAAAUUUAUUAAAUUUAAAUUUUUGAUUACUAUAUAACUAUGUUUAUUCAUUUAUUGAUAAAAACAGCUUGAGAACACAUAGGUAAAAGAUUUAAAAAAAAACAGAAAUAAACAACUUGUUUAACAAUAUAUUUCUUACAUAUGUAAACUAUUGUUACAAUCACUUAUUUCUUACAGAGCUUUGUAACUUAUUGUAAACUAAAUAAUAAAUUGGCUCGGUAAAAAAAAGAAUCACAAUCAACCAUUAUUUUUCUAAGAAACUCAUAUAACAUAUUAUAAAUUUACAAUAUUUUAUAGCUGAGACCGAUAUAAAUAAAAAACAAAUACUAAAUUUCAGUUUAACAUUUAUAUUUAUUGGCCCAUAUUAAGUACUAUGAUAUUAAUUAUUUAUUUUAUUUUGAUUUAUAAGCUAUAUGUAUGUUUUGACAUACUUUAAGACAUAAUUUUAUAAUUCUGAUGUUAAUUAAUGAAGAGUUAGCAUAUAUAUCAACUUAUUAUGCUGACAUUAAAUAUUAUUAUUGAUAUUUUAAGUUAUUUCUGAUUUUUAAAGGAUAUAGUCCAUAUCGUAUUAAAGGUUACAGACAUAAUUAGAUUUUUUCUUGUCAAUCUCUUAUUAUGUUAGUUUUCAAUAAUUAGCUAUAAAUAUCAGUCUAACUUUAAAGAUAUUUUUUUACAAAUUUUAAUUUAUCUUUUUAUAGUUUUUGUUGAUUUUUAUUUAUUUUUACAUACGUGAUUAUUUAUAAAUAAUUUGUGUUUUUAACUUUAUUUCUUCUUGAAAUAUUUUUAUUUUUGUUAUUUUAUGUUUAAUGUCAAAUAUAUAUUUAUUUUAUAUAUCAAGUUAACUAUUUUUAAUAAAAUAAUAUCUUUAUUUAAUAUAUCAAAUUAAAAUGCUGACUUUUUUUAUAUUAUUAUAAUGAUAUUUUUAAAUUCUAUGUGAACACUAUAUAUAUCCUAAAUUUUGAAAUCAUAUGUUAUAGAUUCAUAUGUAAUGAAAUAGUGCUUUAGAUUUAUAUUGUCUUUAUUAUUUGAAAUCCUUAUAUUUUUAAGAUUAUUUUAGUUACUUAAUUUUAUGUUGAUCUUCUAAAGAUUUAAUUUUUAUAAUAAACUAAUUCUUUUAGUUAUUUUUUUGUUAGUUAAUUUUAUGUUGGUCUUUCAAAGAUUUAGUUUAUAUACCAAAUUGAUUCCUUUAAUAAUUUUGCCUUUUUCACGAAAUUGAAUAGUAGUUUCCUUUUUAUUUUGAAAUAAACAUUUUUUCUGAAAAUCUUGAAAUUUUUAAAAUAAUAAUUAUACCUUUUGGUCAAUAAGAAAUAACUCGAAGCCCAUAAGCAAACCACCCUUGUUGAUGUUACGCGCUUCCCAAAAGUGAACCACUCUAGCAAGAACUUCAUUCUUAUUAAAACCUUUUUUAAGAUCAUCCAAAACCAAAGAAGUAGCUGAAGCGACCAUAUCUCUAUUCUCUUUUCAAUAUCUAUCUCUUUCUCAAAGUAAAAUCUUGAAAACUUUUAGAACUUUAGAUGAUUAUUUAUAGUCACCCAAUACUUCAUAUAUUAGAAACUUUCUUAUUUUAUGUAUUAAGUGAACUUACCUUUUAUUAAAACUUAUAUUUUAUGAUAAUAUACAUAAAUUUGGAAAUUGACAAAAAAAAGCUGAUAAAAAAUACAUAAAUUUGGAAAUCAUGACAUUUUUAAAAUAUGUAAAGGUAAAAUGUUAUUUAACGAUAUGUUUUGACUUUUUAAAUUUUGAUUUUUAAACCUAAUAAAUAUAUAUCGUCAUUUAAUAUUUAAAUGUCUAUUUAUGUAAAAUAUACAUAAAUUUGAAAGUUGUCCCAAAAAAAAGCUGACCAAAAAAAAUUCAUAAAUUUUGAAAUCAUGACAUUUUUAAAAUAUAUAAAGGUAAUAUAGUAUUUAAGGAUACUUUUUUGACUUUUAAAAUUUUUGAAUUUUAAAUCUAAUAAUUAUAUUUCGACUUUAAAUAUUAAAACUUCUAUUUUAUGUCAAUAUACAUAAAUUUGGAAAGCUGGCCAAACAAAAGCUGACAAAAAAAAUCAUAAAUUUGGAAAUCAUAUAUUUUAUUAGCCUAAUUUAUUAGAUAAUAUUUAUUUUUUUAAUAAAAUAUUUUUUUGCAAACAUUAACAUAUUUUUAAAAAUGAUUUAUCAUAAACGAUUUUAGGAAAUAUUGGCAUUUUCGAAAAUAGCAAACUUAUUAAUUAUUCUUUUGGUUAUUUAUUUUUUUAAUUUUCGAAAAAUAAUUAAACCUUUUCCGUCAUACAUCCAUUUAGAACUCUAGAGUUAAGUGUACUUGAGCUAAAGUAGUGGAAGGAUGUGUGACCCAUCAGGAAGUGAUUCGCAAUAUCGUGUGAGUGAGGUCAAAGCACGCAGAAAGGUCAUGUGGUAAUUGCAUGGUCAGUAAACAAGAUUUUCGGGCCAUGGAAAAUUAACGCACCGCCUGUCAGAAGGGAUGAGACCAUGGGCCGAGUGAGUGGGAGUGGGUGGUCCAUUAGCCGUGAACGGUCGGAACGUUACAACUACGUUCAUAAUACCAUUUUCAUGUUUACCUUAACCAUCUUUACCUUCACUUUCAAAGAGGAAAAAAACACUUAUAAUCCUAGGGUAAACUAAUCAAGACUUUAGAUUCAAAGUUGGAGUAAUUUCAUAUUUACCACUUUCAUGCUACCAUUAUUCUUUUUUACCACCAUUAAAGAAACAUUUUCAAAAAUAUCUUCUUCAUAAAGUGGCAAAACACUCUUAUAUCAUUGCUCUCUAUAUAUAUAAUAAAUAAUCAUUUAAAUAAAAAAAUUUAUGUUUUUGAAUUCUGCUUUUUCCAAUUCGAACUUUAAAAAAAAUUUUGAAAAAAAAAUUUGAACUUUUUUUUCCAAAUAUUUUUUUUUUUGAAAAUCAAAAAUUAUUUUUGAAACUAUUUUUAAAAUUUUUUUAUAUUUUUUAAGUAUUUAUAAAUUUAUUAGAAUCCUAAAUUUCACAUUCUAAAAAUCUUAUUACAUUCUUCGACUCUAAACUCUAAGUCUAGAUUAGUUAACCCUAGGGUAUAAAUGAAUUUUACCCUUAAUUAAAAGUAACGAUAAAAAUGAUUAGUGUAAACAUGAAAAGUAGUACUAUGAAUGUGAUAUUUGUGGCAAUGUUCCUUUAAAGUUGAGGGGUGUGGCAGAGUUUUUGGAAUAUAGAAUUUAAGAUUCUAAUAAAUAUAUAAAUAAAUACUUAAAAACUAAUAAGUUUUUUUCUUAAAUGGUUUCAAAAAUAAUUUUCGAACUUCAAAAAUAAAAUUAAAAAAAUCCAAAAAGAAAUUUAUAACAAAGUUCGAAUUUGAAAAAAUAUAAUUCGGAAACAUAAUAAAAUUUUACUUUUUUUAUUUAAAUAAUUAUUUAUUAUAUAUAUAUAGCAAGUGUAUAAAUGUCUUUUACUUCUUAAUGAGUAAAAUAUUUUUGAAAAUAUCUCUUUAGUGAAUGUAAACAUAAAUAAUAGUACCAACAACGUGGUAAAUAUGAAAAAUUCCCUUACAUAUAUAUAUGUAAUAGCUAUUAUUGAAUUAUUAUGUUACUUAACUAAAUAUGAUUACAUUUAUGUUAUGACAUUUUUAAAAUAUAUAAAGGUAAUAUAGUAUUUAAGGAUACUUUUUUGACUUUUAAAAUUUUUGAAUUUUAAAUCUAAUAAUUAUAUUUCGACUUUAAAUAUUAAAACUUCUAUUUUAUGUCAAUAUACAUAAAUUUGGAAAGCUGGCCAAACAAAAGCUGACAAAAAAAUCAUAAAUUUGGAAAUCAUAUAUUUUAUUAGCCUACUUUAUUAGAUAAUAUUUAUUUUUUUGAUAAAAUAUUUUUUUGCAAACAUUAACAUAUUUUUAAAAAUGAUUUAUCAUAAACGAUUUUAGGAAAUAUUGGCAUUUUCGAAAAUAGCAAACUUAUUAAUUAUUCUUUUGGUUAUUUAUUUUUUUAAUUUUCGAAAAAAUAAUUAAACAUUUUGUUAACUUAAUAUAGUAUUUAUAUUUUUAUUGAUUUACCUUAUUUGAUAUUGAUUUAUAUUUUAGUUUGAAAUAAAUGAUUUUUUUUUGUAAUAUUAACAUUUUUCAAAAUAGUAAACUUAAAUAAUGAUUUGUCAUACUACGAUUGAUCGUUUAACAUCCUACGUGGACACCCUCAAUGGCUUAUAGCCUCAACUUUUAUAUAGUAUAGAUUGAUUGGUUGUUCCAUUGACAAGAACUCAAAUAUAUUUACAAAGAAUUUUUUAUUUGUUUACAGAAUCAGAUAUGCAUGUAUAUUUAGGUAUUUGUUCAGAUAGGAAUCAGUUCUUUCAGGUAUAAGAAUUUUUUGGUUUUAAAUUAGAUUCUGUUUAAAAAUACUAUAAAUUUAUGGGCGGAAUUCGAGUAGGAUGAAUUCAGUUAUAAUGUGUUAGAACCUAAAAUUAUCCAAAUGACAUAUAUAUUUUAUAAAUGUCAUUAAACAAUUUAUAAAAAAGGGUAAAACACAACAUCUGCAUUGGUGCAUGUAUCAAGCUCUAAUUGUUUUUAUUACAACACACGGGCUUUGAGGCUCAAAGAGAAGAAAAAAUGGGCAGGCCAGGUAAUGUAGUUCCAGAGUCAAGAAUGUAUAUAUUUCCUGAGACAUAUCGAGAAGAGUCAUGAAUGAGAUAGCGAACCAGCGAGGUAAUUCCCGGAUCCACGGUCUGUUGCACCUUUAACGGUAUAAUCCUAUCGGUCACGUUCUUUAGCCAUUCUUUUUGCAUAAGACCUUGCGUGAUCUCUGACUUAAGAAGCCCCGGUGCGAUUGAGUUCACUCUGAUGUUGUAUACACCUAACUCAAUAGCCAUCAUCCUCGUCAUGGUGUCAACACCGCCUUUGGAACAAGCAUAGGCGACUCCACCGAAAAACAAACCUCGGUGGAGACCGGAGAUGGACGAGACGUUUAUCACCGAGCCGCCGCGUUUUGAGUCACGCAUUAGACUGCAGACGUAUUUGGAUACUAACCAAGGUCCGGUUAAGUUGGUUCUGAAGACUGUGUUCCACUCGUCUUCAGUCAGAUCUAAACUCGUCUUGACAUUGCCUCUGAUUCCAGCGUUGUUGAUCAACACAUCUAUCUUUCCGAAGAUGUCCCAAGCUUGUUUGACCGCUUUUUGAAUGGUGGCUGCGUCUGAUGAAACGUCUAGCUCGAUCGGUGCGGCUAAUUGGAUCCCGGUUGAACUUAAGCUGUUGAUUUCAGAGCAAAGAGAUUCGAGACGGUCGACACGGCGAGCUGCUGCGAUAAUCUUACAGCCAGCUUUGCCCAGAUCAAGACAGACUUCUCUUCCUAUACCAGAAGAAGCUCCGGUCAGAAGAACCACUUUGUCUUUAAGCUCGCACCAUGGCUCUAGUUGCUUCAACAUCUGCUUCUCUCCCAUUAAAAAGAAAACAAACAAAUUUGAGAUUAUAAAUGAUAGAAACAGAUGAAAGACAAAUUCCGUGAGCUAUAUAUAUGAUGAAGAAGAUAAGACAAAUUAAAAGUUAAUUCAAGAUAAGAUGAGAUUUUAUCAUGAAGUUAUAGUAAGGAUUGUACUCCCUCUUUUUUUUUUCUUUUUUUUAAAGAGUGUCAUUUUAGGUUUUUUUUCUUGUUACAAAAAAUGCGUUUUGGAUUUCGAAUGCAAUUUUUACUUAAUUUCAGAUGAAUAGUAAUUGUAAAAUGCAUUGAUCUAAUAAAUAGACUUAUAUAUCUUAAAUAUUAUUAGUCAAUUAGAUAUAAUUAAUGAAAACAUAAAUACAUUUUAAUCAUUUUCUUAAUAUGUAUGAAAAGUGUCUAAUUGAUCACUUAUAAUGAAACGAAGAAAGUAUUCAAAAACAUAUAAAUCUACAUAAAAUGAGAGAGAGAGAGAGAGAGAGAGAGAGAGAGAGAGAGAGAGAGAAUUUGUCUCACCGUGGUUUGAUGACUGUUCAUAUUACUUUCUCUGGUGUUUGUUCAGUGAAGAAGUAGAAGGCCAUAACACAUUUAUAAAGCCCUAGGGAGAGGUUGGUUGGUCCGGAUAUACCUUAUGUAUUUAGCAUUAAUUUUUACUAGAGCUUAAUCCGCACGCCCGUAUAUUGGUUCUUACGUUUUUAUAAAUUGAUAUUUUUUUUCAUGAUUAGUAUUAUAUAUUUUAGAUGUGUCACCAUAUGACUAAUUGCAAUCAAAAGAUCCGGAUUGAAUCGGGUAAUAUAGUUAUUUUUGGUACAAGUAUUUCUAAUCCAUUCCAAAUACAUUAGUUAUUUGGAUAUUUUUAAGUUUGUAUACAUCAAAACCAACCAUCUAAACUCUAUAGGACCCAACUCAAAACUCACACAUAAAAGUUUAAUAUCCAAGCGGGGCCUAAUUAUAAAAUCCCAAAAAAAAAUUUGAUACCCGAAAGAAACAACCCGUACCUGAAUGUCUAUGCCUAACUAAUUCUGUAACCAAAUAAAAAAAUUCUUUCUAUGUGUUUGGGUAAAUUAAGUAAAAUAGAAAGCUCUUUAAUUUAGUAAAAAAGUUAUAUGGUGUGAAAAAUUAAGUGACAAUAUAUGUAAUGUGUUUUUAUUAUUUUGAUUUAAGUUAUUAUUUUGUUCAUAUUAACUAUGUCUUUGAAUUAUGUGUUUGGCUACGUAAUUUCUAACCAUAUGCAAAACCCGGUUGUUUUACAUGAUUUUUAUAAUUGGUACAAAGUUAAUUUUGAUUAAAAAUAAAAAUCUUCAAUAUUAUUAUUAUGGUUAUGCAACUAAUGAUGUAAUGUAUUAUUAAUGUAAUAUAAUUAAUGAAGCUGUUAAAUUGAGUGAAAAUGGAAUGAUAAUUAAUGUAUUAACUUGUUGGAAAAAAGUUAGUUCUAUUUGUACUUCAGUUUUAAUAACAUACUAGAGAUUGACCCGCACACCCCCGCACAUGUAUUGCUUCUUACAUUUUUAUACAUUUAUGUUUGUUUUUCAUAAUUAGUGCUAUAUAUUUUAGAUGGGUCGUAAUAUAACUAAUUGCAUUCAAAAGACAUGGACCAAAUCGGAUAAUAUUAUUAUUUUUGGUACAAAUAUCCUAACCUAUUUCAGAUACAUUUGUUAUUUAUAUAUUUUUAGGUUCCUAUACAUCAUAACCGAACUCAUCCAGACCCAGAAGGACCCAACUCAAAACUCACACUUAAAUUUAUAAUAUUCAAGUGGGGUCUAAUUUAUAAAAAAAACAAUACCUGAAAAUAACAACCCGUAUCUAAAUGGAUAGCCAAUGUUCAUGCCUAACUAAUUUUAUAAACUAAUAAACAUGACUCUUUCUAUGUCUUUGGCUAAAUUAAUUGAAAUAAAAAGAUUUUUUUUAUUUAGUAAAAUAAUUAUAUAGAGUGGAAAAUUAAGGGACAAUAAAUGUAAUACAUUUUUAUUAUUUUAAUUUAAGUUAUUAUUUUAUUCACAAAAAAAAUAUAUUUGAAUUAUGUUUUUGGCAAACUUAGAGUUUUAAGUGAUUUAUAUUAAAAUGACAAAUCUACUAUUACUCAAACAUGAAUUUUGAAACUCAUUUAAAAUCUACUAUUAUUGAACUUAGCAUUUCGUAGAGUACUCUAAAAUUCACUGUUAUUAAAAAUAUUUUAAAUUGUGGAGUUUUAAAGUUUUGAGGUGAUUUUAGGGUGUUUGGGUGGAGUUUCAUAGUUAAAAAAAAAAAAUCCAAAUCCCAUAGUUUUAGGUUAUAUUCAAGAGGGGUUAAACAAAAAUCACAUAAAUCUCUGCAAUUUAUUGAAAUCAUCUAAAACUCCAUUAAAAGUUAAAUCACCUUAUUAAAUCACCUUUAUCACAUUUGAGGUGAUUUAACUUUUAACGGAGUUUUAGAUGAUUUCGAUAAGUUGCAGAGAUUUAUGUGAUUUUUGUUAAACCACUCUAGAAUAUAUAACCUAAAAACCAUAGAAUUUGGGUUUUAUUUUUUUUUAACUAAAAAACUCCACCCAAAUACCCUAAAAUCACCUCAAAACUUUACAACUCAUCAACUUCAAAUAUUUUCAAUAACAGUGGAUUUUAGAGUAUUCUACAAAAUGUUAAGUUCAAUGACAGUUGAUUUUAAAUAAUUUUUAAAAUUCAUGUUUGAAUAACAGAGAAUUUAUCAUUUUAAUACAAAUCACCUAAAACUUUCAGUCGAAUACAAUACACCCCCUAAAUAAUUUUUGUAAUCACGAGUUCCGCAUGGACGAUGUCAUGAUAGUGACAUGGAAUAUUUGAGUGAUCCUUACUUAUUUUGAGUGGGCUCAACAAGGUCACGUUUUUAAAUUAAAGCUAUAACAUUACGUAGCUGUAUAUUACUAAUAAUAUACAUAAAAUCCUAUCUAUCUUAUUAAAAGAAAAAGAAAAGGAACCUUUGAAACUAAUUUUAGUUUUAUGUGAGAUAUUACAAAAUAUACUAUUUAAAUUUGUAAUUUUUGUAUUAUUUCAUUAACGAUACUUUUGUAAUGAAAUGUUAGACUAGAAAAUACGAAAUACAAAUUAAUAAAUAAAUAUUAGGUUAUUAAAAUUUCCCAAUUUUGAUUCAAAGGAAUGUAUUUAAUAAAUUAUAUAAUAAAUAUAUUUUUUUUUGACAGCAAAGAAUUUACAGACUCAUAUUAACUCCGACAAUAAAUAUUUAUUAAUCACUAAAAAAUAUAAACGGCCAUGUAACAGUCUUCAUACGACCCAUCUGCUUUUUUUUAUCAAAGGAGUCAUCUGCUAACAACCUUUUCAUGAUCCUAAUACUAUAUAAUCAUAUCUAACCUAUAUUAAAAGGGAUAUAUGAGGAGUAGGGAGGCUGUCCACGUCCUCAUUUAAAAUCAGCCAAUAGGGUGUCUGAAAUUUGCCAUGUCACACUGCUGCUGAGUUAGAUUGGGCUUCUGUGGGUUUUCUUAAAUUUUCAUCCGGUCCAACUAAACUCAUGCCCACAAAUAUGUAUCAUCUUCAAGCGUCGAGGGUCUCUGUCCCCGACUCUUCCACUUCAUCUUCUCUAAUAUCUGAUUUUUUUUCCUAUACCUUCUCAAUCAAUGAUAAUCUUAAAGCUAUUCUUGAAUGUUUUGUUUCACCUCCACUCGAUACUUGAUACUUCUCCUAUAUAAAGCUCUGUCUCUAGACCCUAAAUCUAUCCUAAAUUAAAAAAAAAAAACUAUUUUGGCGGAAGCUACAUCCAUGGCCAUGAAAUACCACCGCCAAAAUUCAGCUAUCCACCAACAAAUCUCCAAUCGUCGCGGGCUUCUGCUGAAACCACUUGCAUGAGGACUGCCAGAAUUUGUUGAGGACAGAGGCGGAAGCCCGUGUGGUCAAUGGAACCGGAGCUGAGCUUGAUCAGGUAAGGUCGGAUGUCUAGAGGCUAGCUGAAGAUAUACCGAAGCUAUCGGCGGCGACAACUGAGCUUACGGCGAGAUAGCCAAGGCUAAAGCCUUUUCCUUUGCUACGUCACCUUCUGAGAUAAAUUGUUUCGACAAACCUAUUUGGCUUCAAGCUUCGAAAGUAUCAUCUCCCGCACCCAGACUCUUCCACUUCAUCUUCUCUAUGUCUGAUUUUUUUCAGUUACCUUCUCUCAAUCAAUGAUCAGUGAUGAUCUUAAUGUUUCGUUAUACCUACCCUAGACCCUUCUCCUAUAUAAAUCACUACAAUCUACGCCUAAAUCCACCCUAAAUUAUAAACCUACUAUGUAGCAGCUGUAUCCAUAGCCAUGAAAUCGAUCGGAAAAUCGCAGCUCUCCACAAAAUCAACGCUUCCCCUACAGGUAUGGAUCUCCUUGGCCGUAUGUUUUCGUAUUUAGCUGUCACUGCUAUCACAAAGAUUGAAAAUUUAUUUUCUCUGUAGAUUAUUUUCAUCGAUGUGUAAUUUGAAAGUUACUCAUACUUUUCUCAGUUUUGCAAUCUUACAAGGAAUCUCAAGAGCCGGCAGAUAACUCAAGUGUAAGCUUAUUAAUGUCUUCUUAUUUGUGACAACUUUCAGCGAGCAUACUUUAGAUUCCUAACUAAUUAAAAAAAGGCAUUACUCUGUUUGAUGUGUGUUUUGCUUAUCUGCUUCGGCUAUGGUUUUAUGACGAUGUUUCAGGAAGUACGGAAAUGCAAAUGCCUGGACCUUUCGAUUAUCUUACUCUUACUGCCCUCAUCGAGUGUAAGGUUUGUGCUCUUCUUUCAAGCUGGUAUUUCAGACAUAUUUUUCAACGACACCAUUUUACUUCAUCAGUGAUUAUCAAUUACAGGUUUUCUGUUUGCAUUGAGGGCUUUCACUUUCUCCGAAUACACUUGAUAAUAUCCGGAUCUUGGAUUAGCUACAUGAGGUAUUAUCUUCUCCUUUUUUCUGCCCAAGUCCUUAGUUCGGAUUGGAUUUGAAGAGUUAUGAGUUGUUUAUGGGUCUCUUUCUCCUUCCACUCUCUUAAGGUUCAAGUGCUAACUUCCAAAUUAGUAUUAGGUUGUUUUCUGAAAGAGCAAAAGAAUAUCUUACUGGUCAUCUGUUUGAACUAUGUCUUGGUGCCACACUAAGGACCAAUGUGUGAUUUACUUUGGGAUGAUCCCCAUGAUGAUGUGGAUUAUCUCUUCGAGCUGGUUAUACAUUUGGACAGCUCAAUUCAAUGACAACAAUGGACUCAAUAUCAUAUUAAGAGCCCAUCAGCUUAGCUUUUAACUGGUGGCAGGUGUGUAUGUUCAUUUCAAUUGCUCAAGACUCUAACGAAGGUAUGAUUGGUCCGUCUAUCUUUUCAUAACUGUGGAUUGGAUCAUUGAUCUCUCAAACAUUUUAUGGUAACAGGAAAAAAUGUGGUGAUGGUGUCGCACCAAACUAUUGCUUCUGGUGGGGAAAUAUUGCAGCGAUUGUAGAAAUAAGAGAGGAUUAAAAUUUCCUCCAGUUUAAUCCAGCCGAAAGACCACCCAAUGCUAAAACCUAUACAAUGGCAUCUGGUAUGUUUCUAACCUCGACAGUCUCCAAGUCCAAGCGAACCUGCAGGUUCUUUAAGAGGAUCACAAGACUGAAUUAUAAACAAUAGGAAACCCUGAAGAAGCUACCUCAACAACUUCCACCUCUUGAAAUUGGAUUAAAUGUAGGGAAUUCUCUUUUGCAAUUUGAUUAUUUGGCCACAACAUCUGAAGCAUAAGGCAAAGUUGUGACAUGUGCAGGUAUAUUGCUUCUAUACAUUGACCCGCUCUCGCAAGGUUUCCUUUAAAAUAAUAUUGAAGAACUAUUAUUUCGAGUUACAAUAUAUUGUACUUCAAGUGUUAUAAUAAUUUUUUGAUGAAAUACCAUUUCCAGUAAUGUAAUCUAUGUUUUCAUAAUUAUUUUCUUUUUUGCACUCUCAUAAUUUAAUUUUAAUUUUAUUAUUUUAAUUAAUUUUAUAAGUUACAAUAUAGAUGCUUGUAUAUUCAAAAUAACGUAAUUGGCAAUUUAAAAUAACGUAUACAAUACUACAAUUUAAAAUAAGAAUACAUAUUGUAUAAAGUAUUACAAUCGGAACUAACUUUAUAAUAGUUGAGUUUAGGUGGCAAUGAGUUUCAAAUAGUUUCAGCUGACUAAGAUGUGCUUUCACGUGGUCUAGAAACCACAGAAACUUCACACUAGGGCGAUUUUAAACUUUGUUGUAUUUUUGUUAUUGAGAACUAUAUCUACAUAUAACAUGAUGAUGGAUAAGCUGAAUAAAAAAUAAAUGAAUCUUAGUUAUCAUAUAUAUAUAUAUAUAUAUAUAUUAUCUUUCUUACUAGAUGUUUAUGUAAAAACAUAUGUUAAAUGUAGAACUGAUUUAAACUUUGUUUCAGUUUUAAAAUCACUAAUUUCUCUUUCUAUUGUCCUAUAUGUCUUUAAAACGAAAUACAAACUAACUUAUACGCAUGCUUUUUACUUGGUUUAUUUCAACCAAUUGAUUAGGUUCUUCGAUCUAACAAAAAUGUAUGUUUAUGGCAUUUUGGUUUGAUACAUAUAGUUUGACAAAAUAAACCAAAAAUUCCUAGCUAGACUGUUACAAUAAAAAAUAAUUAGACCAAAACUUUGGCUUAAUAUAGAUACAAAAAUUCUCUUACAGUUAGUGAAGACAAAGUUUUAAUGAAGGAACUUUUCACAUAUUUAAAUUGUGCCACUAUUUAUAUGGGAUGAAGUAGAAACUUCUUUCUAACAAUUAUCAAAACAAUUUCGUAAAAUUUUUUUUAUCAAAAGCAAUGAUCCUAAAAUAUAUAAAUGUAAAAAAAAUGAUUUCAUUAAGCAUGAAAGUUAUAUUUUGAUAUUUAAUAAAAAUAAAAUAAAAUAUUAAUGUUUGCCUCAACAUCAUCCAAAAUAUUCUACAACAACUUCAUAAACAUUAUUCAAAGCUUCAAAGAAAACUUACAGAAUAUAUAGAAUACCAAAAACGUCAAACUACAUUACUCAUUCAUGUUUACGGUGUUAGACAUGUUAACUUUUUCAAAAUUUAUGAACCUAAUUUAUACUAUAAAGUUGUGAAGAAGAAAGUGAAAAAUCAAAAUCGAUACUAUUAGUUUUCAGAAAAAAUAUACAAAUAUUCAGUAAAACUGAUAAAUUACAAUCACUAAAGAUUUUUUUUUUUAAAAUAAAUACAAAUAACAAAAUCACCUAUUACUUACAAAUAAAAAGUAAUAAAAUUAAACACAUUUUCAAUAAAAUUAAACACAUUUUCCGCGCGUAGCGCGGACACGGCUCUAGUUUAAUUAAUACUAGAUUACGAUCAGCUCGAUAGUGUGAAUUUUAUUUUAAAUUAGUUAACUAAAUUUUCUAAAUUAAUCGAAUGUUGUUUAAUGUUAAAAGAAAAUUUAGUUGUAUAAUAUUUAUUUUAUGUGGUUCAAUUAACACUAUUAUAAUUAUUUUGUGUAAAUAUGUUGCUAAUAAUUUGGUUGAUACUAUAAUCAGUUAAAUUUGUUGUUUAUGAUUAGUGUUAAGCAUUAAUCUUUAGAUAUAAUACAUUUUGAAUAUUUUCAUAAUUAUUUUUGUUAUUAUAUUUAUCAUACAAUAUAGUUAUUUUCAAUGUAUGAUGUUUAUAUAUAUAUGGGAAAUUACCAAAAAAUACUAUUGUAACAUUCCGAGUGUUGAUAUAUGGAAAGAUUUAGGAUGAUUAAUUUGGCUAUCUAUGUCACCGAAGUUGACUUACCUUUUCCGUCAUACAUCCAUUUAGAACUCUAGAGUUAAGUGUACUUGAGCUAAAGUAGUGGAAGGAUGUGUGACCCAUCAGGAAGUGAUUCGCAAUAUCGUGUGAGUGAGGUCAAAGCACGCAGAAAGGUCAUGUGGUAAUUGCAUGGUCAGUAAACAAGAUUUUCGGGCCAUGGAAAAUUAACGCACCGCCUGUCAGAAGGGAUGAGACCAUGGGCCGAGUGAGUGGGAGUGGGUGGUCCAUUAGCCGUGAACGGUCGGAACGUUACAACUACGUUCAUAAUACCAUUUUCAUGUUUACCUUAACCAUCUUUACCUUCACUUUCAAAGAGGAAAAAAACACUUAUAAUCCUAGGGUAAACUAAUCAAGACUUUAGAUUCAAAGUUGGAGUAAUUUCAUAUUUACCACUUUCAUGCUACCAUUAUUCUUUUUUACCACCAUUAAAGAAACAUUUUCAAAAAUAUCUUCUUCAUAAAGUGGCAAAACACUCUUAUAUCAUUGCUCUCUAUAUAUAUAAUAAAUAAUCAUUUAAAUAAAAAAAUUUAUGUUUUUGAAUUCUGCUUUUUCCAAUUCGAACUUUAAAAAAAAAUUUGAAAAAAAAAUUUGAACUUUUUUUUCCAAAUAUUUUUUUUUUGAAAAUCAAAAAUUAUUUUUGAAACUAUUUUUAAAAUUUUUUUAUAUUUUUUAAGUAUUUAUAAAUUUAUUAGAAUCCUAAAUUUCACAUUCUAAAAAUCUUAUUACAUUCUUCGACUCUAAACUCUAAGUCUAGAUUAGUUAACCCUAGGGUAUAAAUGAAUUUUACCCUUAAUUAAAAGUAACGAUAAAAAUGAUUAGUGUAAACAUGAAAAGUAGUACUAUGAAUGUGAUAUUUGUGGCAAUGUUCCUUUAAAGUUGAGGGGUGUGGCAGAGUUUUUGGAAUAUAGAAUUUAAGAUUCUAAUAAAUAUAUAAAUAAAUACUUAAAAACUAAUAAGUUUUUUUCUUAAAUGGUUUCAAAAAUAAUUUUCGAACUUCAAAAAUAAAAUUAAAAAAAUCCAAAAAGAAAUUUAUAACAAAGUUCGAAUUUGAAAAAAUAUAAUUCGGAAACAUAAUAAAAUUUUACUUUUUUAUUUAAAUAAUUAUUUAUUAUAUAUAUAUAGCAAGUGUAUAAAUGUCUUUUACUUCUUAAUGAGUAAAAUAUUUUUGAAAAUAUCUCUUUAGUGAAUGUAAACAUAAAUAAUAGUACCAACAACGUGGUAAAUAUGAAAAAUUCCCUUACAUAUAUAUAUGUAAUAGCUAUUAUUGAAUUAUUAUGUUACUUAACUAAAUAUGAUUACAUUUAUGUUAUGACAUUUUUAAAAUAUAUAAAGGUAAUAUAGUAUUUAAGGAUACUUUUUUGACUUUUAAAAUUUUUGAAUUUUAAAUCUAAUAAUUAUAUUUCGACUUUAAAUAUUAAAACUUCUAUUUUAUGUCAAUAUACAUAAAUUUGGAAAGCUGGCCAAACAAAAGCUGACAAAAAAAUCAUAAAUUUGGAAAUCAUAUAUUUUAUUAGCCUACUUUAUUAGAUAAUAUUUAUUUUUUUGAUAAAAUAUUUUUUUGCAAACAUUAACAUAUUUUUAAAAAUGAUUUAUCAUAAACGAUUUUAGGAAAUAUUGGCAUUUUCGAAAAUAGCAAACUUAUUAAUUAUUCUUUUGGUUAUUUAUUUUUUUAAUUUUCGAAAAAAUAAUUAAACAUUUUGUUAACUUAAUAUAGUAUUUAUAUUUUUAUUGAUUUACCUUAUUUGAUAUUGAUUUAUAUUUUAGUUUGAAAUAAAUGAUUUUUUUUUGUAAUAUUAACAUUUUUCAAAAUAGUAAACUUAAAUAAUGAUUUGUCAUACUACGAUUGAUCGUUUAACAUCCUACGUGGACACCCUCAAUGGCUUAUAGCCUCAACUUUUAUAUAGUAUAGAUUGAUUGGUUGUUCCAUUGACAAGAACUCAAAUAUAUUUACAAAGAAUUUUUUAUUUGUUUACAGAAUCAGAUAUGCAUGUAUAUUUAGGUAUUUGUUCAGAUAGGAAUCAGUUCUUUCAGGUAUAAGAAUUUUUUGGUUUUAAAUUAGAUUCUGUUUAAAAAUACUAUAAAUUUAUGGGCGGAAUUCGAGUAGGAUGAAUUCAGUUAUAAUGUGUUAGAACCUAAAAUUAUCCAAAUGACAUAUAUAUUUUAUAAAUGUCAUUAAACAAUUUAUAAAAAAGGGUAAAACACAACAUCUGCAUUGGUGCAUGUAUCAAGCUCUAAUUGUUUUUAUUACAACACACGGGCUUUGAGGCUCAAAGAGAAGAAAAAAUGGGCAGGCCAGGUAAUGUAGUUCCAGAGUCAAGAAUGUAUAUAUUUCCUGAGACAUAUCGAGAAGAGUCAUGAAUGAGAUAGCGAACCAGCGAGGUAAUUCCCGGAUCCACGGUCUGUUGCACCUUUAACGGUAUAAUCCUAUCGGUCACGUUCUUUAGCCAUUCUUUUUGCAUAAGACCUUGCGUGAUCUCUGACUUAAGAAGCCCCGGUGCGAUUGAGUUCACUCUGAUGUUGUAUACACCUAACUCAAUAGCCAUCAUCCUCGUCAUGGUGUCAACACCGCCUUUGGAACAAGCAUAGGCGACUCCACCGAAAAACAAACCUCGGUGGAGACCGGAGAUGGACGAGACGUUUAUCACCGAGCCGCCGCGUUUUGAGUCACGCAUUAGACUGCAGACGUAUUUGGAUACUAACCAAGGUCCGGUUAAGUUGGUUCUGAAGACUGUGUUCCACUCGUCUUCAGUCAGAUCUAAACUCGUCUUGACAUUGCCUCUGAUUCCAGCGUUGUUGAUCAACACAUCUAUCUUUCCGAAGAUGUCCCAAGCUUGUUUGACCGCUUUUUGAAUGGUGGCUGCGUCUGAUGAAACGUCUAGCUCGAUCGGUGCGGCUAAUUGGAUCCCGGUUGAACUUAAGCUGUUGAUUUCAGAGCAAAGAGAUUCGAGACGGUCGACACGGCGAGCUGCUGCGAUAAUCUUACAGCCAGCUUUGCCCAGAUCAAGACAGACUUCUCUUCCUAUACCAGAAGAAGCUCCGGUCAGAAGAACCACUUUGUCUUUAAGCUCGCACCAUGGCUCUAGUUGCUUCAACAUCUGCUUCUCUCCCAUUAAAAAGAAAACAAACAAAUUUGAGAUUAUAAAUGAUAGAAACAGAUGAAAGACAAAUUCCGUGAGCUAUAUAUAUGAUGAAGAAGAUAAGACAAAUUAAAAGUUAAUUCAAGAUAAGAUGAGAUUUUAUCAUGAAGUUAUAGUAAGGAUUGUACUCCCUCUUUUUUUUUUUUUUUUUAAAGAGUGUCAUUUUAGGUUUUUUUUCUUGUUACAAAAAAUGCGUUUUGGAUUUCGAAUGCAAUUUUUACUUAAUUUCAGAUGAAUAGUAAUUGUAAAAUGCAUUGAUCUAAUAAAUAGACUUAUAUAUCUUAAAUAUUAUUAGUCAAUUAGAUAUAAUUAAUGAAAACAUAAAUACAUUUUAAUCAUUUUCUUAAUAUGUAUGAAAAGUGUCUAAUUGAUCACUUAUAAUGAAACGAAGAAAGUAUUCAAAAACAUAUAAAUCUACAUAAAAUGAGAGAGAGAGAGAGAGAGAGAGAGAGAGAGAGAGAGAGAGAGAGAGAGAGAGAGAGAGAGAUUUGUCUCACCGUGGUUUGAUGACUGUUCAUAUUACUUUCUCUGGUGUUUGUUCAGUGAAGAAGUAGAAGGCCAUAACACAUUUAUAAAGCCCUAGGGAGAGGUUGGUUGGUCCGGAUAUACCUUAUGUAUUUAGCAUUAAUUUUUACUAGAGCUUAAUCCGCACGCCCGUAUAUUGGUUCUUACGUUUUUAUAAAUUGAUAUUUUUUUUCAUGAUUAGUAUUAUAUAUUUUAGAUGUGUCACCAUAUGACUAAUUGCAAUCAAAAGAUCCGGACUGAAUCGGGUAAUAUAGUUAUUUUUGGUACAAGUAUUUCGAAUCCAUUCCAAAUACAUUAGUUAUUUGGAUAUUUUUAAGUUUGUAUACAUCAAAACCAACCAUCUAAACUCUGUAGGACCCAACUCAAAACUCACACAUAAACUUUUAAAUCCAAACGGGGCCUAAUUACAAAAUCCCAAAAAAAAUCUGAUACCCGAAAGAAACAACCCGUACCUGAAUGUCCAUGCCUAACUGAUUCUGUAAACAAAUAAAAAAACUCUUUCUGUGUGUUUGGCUAAAUUAAGUAAAAUAGAAAGCUCUUUAAUUUAGUAAAAAAGUUAUAUGGUCUGAAAAAUUAAGUGACAAUAUAUGUAAUGUGUUUUUAUUAUUUUGAUUUAAGUUAUUAUUUUGUUCACAUUAACUUUGUCUUUGAAUUAUGUGUUUGGCUACGUAAUUUCCCACCGAUUGAAACUAAGAUAAAAAAUAGUAAAAUAGUAAAUAAAAAUUUUAACCAUAUGCAAAACCCGGUUAUUUUACAUGAUUUUUAUAAUUGGUACAAAGUUAAUUUUGAUUAAAACUAAAAAUUUUCAAUAUUAUUAUUAUGGUUAUGUAACUAAUGAUGUAAUGUAUUAUUAAUGUAAUAUAAUUAAUGAAGUUGUUAAAGUUAGUGAAAAUGGAAUGAUAAUUAAUGUAUUAACUUGUUGGAAAAAAGUUAGUUCUAUUUGUACUUCAGUUUUAAUAACAUACUAGGUUAAGACCCGCGCCUUGCGCGGGAUGAACAUUAUAUAUAAAAAUAAUUUUAUGUAUUAAAUAUUUUUACAUAUUAUGAAAUAAUAAAUAUAUAUUGAAUAAAUUAAAGUCAGUAACUAUUAAAUAUAUAAUUAAAUUGGUCUGAAAAUAUAAAUCAAUUUUAUUAAUCCAAUUUUGUUUUUAAUAUUUGAUAGGAUAUGUAAUUAAAUUUAAAUGAUACUAACAUACAUAGUAUAUUUUAGUAUAUUUUUAAUAUUAAUGUCUAUUAAAUGAUGAUUUCUACUCAUAUAAUUUAUUUUUAUCAUUUGUAUCUUUUAUAGAAAAAUAUUUAAAUUACUGAUAACAAAAUUUUCAUUGUGCAAUUAAUAGUUUUAAUAAUUUAUAAUUUAAAAAAAUAAGUUGUCAAUGUUCGUUCAAAACUUUUACCAAAAUAUUGUUCAAAGUAAAUUUUGAAACUAAAAGAUUUAUGUAUUUUAUAUGGUUUAUAGUUUAAUUUAAAACGAUAUAUAUAUAUAUAUCAAUCUUAAUAAUUAAUUAAAUUAUACUUCUUACUUAUAUAAUUUUGUAAUCAUUUGAAUGUGAGACUUUUAACAGUUUUAGUAAUUUAUAGUCGUUUUUCGAAAUUCAAAAUAUAACGUUUACAGAAAAAUCUAAAAUAUUUAUUAUAUGGUUAUUGUGGUUGUUUAAUUUAUUUAAUAGUUUAAAAUUAAACCAAUAUGAUAGAACAUACACUAAUUUUUAUCAAAUCUUUAUUAUUCAAAAUCAUUAAUUGUCAUAUAUAAUUUAGCCACAUUAGGCAAUUUCGUAAAUUUUAUUUAAGGAAAUAAUGAAGUACAUUAAUAAUGAAUUUAUUGUUAGUUUAAUAAAAAAACUUAUUAUAUAAUUAGAUGGACCAACAUAUUUCUCUAAUGAUUCUAAGAAUCAUCCUAAUGAUGACAUGUGGCUACAAAAAGAAGUUGUAAUGCUUCUCAAAUAAUAUAUAGAGGACUAGAGAUUGACCCGCACACCCCCGCACAUGUAUUGCUUCUUACAUUUUUAUACAUUUAUGUUUUUUUUUUCAUAAUUAGUGCUAUAUAUUUUAGAUGUGUCGUAAUAUAACUAAUUGCAUUCAAAAAACAUGGAACAAAUCAGGUAAUAUUAUUAUUUUUGGUACAAAUAUCCUAACCCAUUUCAGAUAUAUUUGUUAUUUAGAUAUUUUUAGGUUCCUAUACAUCAUAACCGAACUCAUCCAGACCUAGAAGAACCCAACUCAAAACCCACACUUAAAUUUAUAAUAUUCAAGUGGGCCUAAUUUAUAAAAAAACAAUACCCGAAAAUAACAAUCCGUAUCUAAAUGGAUAUCCAAUAUUCAUGUCUAACUAAUUUUAUAAACUAAUAAACAUGACUCUUUCUAUGUCUUUGGCUAAAUUAAGUGAAAUAAAAAGAAUUUUUUUAUUUAGUAAAAUAAUUAUAUAGAGUGAAAAAUUAAAGGAUAAUAAAUGUAAUACAUUUUUAUUAUUUUAAUUUAAGUUAUUAUUUUAUUCACAAAAAAAUAUAUUUGAAUUAUGUUUUUGGCUAUAUAAUUUUCCACCGAUUGAAACUAAAUAUGAAAAAAAUGGUAAAACAAAGUAAACCAAACUUUUAAUCAUAUGCAAAACCUUGUGGUUUAUGGUUGGUAACGUAAGUUAUACAAAGUUGGAUAGUGGUUUUUUUUUUUUGAACUACUGUUGGAUAGUGGUUAACGCCAACGUUUUCCACAUUAGAAACUCAGUGGUCAAUGAUACUUGGAAGAGUAUGGGCCCAGCGAGUCUUGAGUACGCCAAGUGGGGUUCAACCCAAAAGACUACUUCCAAAGAUGAGUUAUUUCCCAAGUCAGAUGAUCAUUUCGGUGGAAUCUAUGGUGAUAAUACAGAGUGGGAGACUUUGGAAUGGAACGUCAUGAAUGAUUAUAAAAAAAAAGAGAGAUGGAGAUACAUCUAAUGUUUGGGGUUAUUGGUUUCAAAGCAAAAGAAUUCCAGUGCCAUGAAUAGUUACAACAAAGCAUGUUAUCUCCUGCAGCGGGAGUGUUUGGAACGGAUUGCAAUGUAACAGAUGAAUCGUGUCCAAUGAUCUUUUUAGAAAAAAAAAACAUUUACUCAUAAGAAUUGAGAGCCGUAAGAAAGAUCUUAUAAAACCAAGAACGAAGUAGAGGAAAACUAACGAAUCAGCCUAUCCUACGGAUGGGUUAAGAAGCAUCGUGUUACUGAUGUCUAUGUUAAAAAUUCUUAUUAACAACAUGUUUGAUGUAAUUUUUGAUUCAUGUAAUAUGUUACAUUGAUUUGAUAUCAACAAAGUUGAGAUGUUAUAAGAAAAACAUAUGCAAAAACUAAUUAUUUUACAUUUUUUAUUUUAUGACUGGCACAAAGUUAAUGUUGAUUAACUAAUAAAUAAAGAUCUGCACUAUUAUUAUUAUGGUAAUAUCAUUAAUGAUGUGAUGUAUUGUUAAGCUUAUAUAAUUAAUGAAAUUGUUAAACUUUUUGAAAUAUGAAAAGAAAAUUAAUGUAAUUAUAUCAAUGAAAUUACUAAAAGAACACCAUAUUUCUUUUUUUUAUAAUGCUAUCCAUGUUUCUAAAUAAUUCUAAUUUAUUAUGCUAUCCAUGUAUCCAAACAGUACUAAAAGGUACUUCAGUUUUAAUAAUGUAAAUUUAAAAUCAUAAAAUUAAAUUAAAAAGUCUAAAAAAUGGUUGUAGAAACCUUUUCUAAAUCAUUAUAUAAUAAGGUAUAGACAAAAACAAUGUGUAAUAAUAAUUUUUCAUUUAAUUUUCAAUUUUAUAAAUUUCUACAGUCGCAUUCCAACCAAUCAUUCAAAACAUGCUUUCAAGAUACACAACUGAUUUUGUUUUUUUUAAUAAUGCAACUGAUUUUGUGUCAUAACCAAAAUAAUUAGGUUUUUCUAAUAUUUUAUUAUGGUAAAUCUUGUUUUUCACUGUUUUAUUUUCACUUAUGUAAUAAUAAUUUUCCAUUUAAUUCUCAAUGUUAUAAAUUAUUUAAAUUUUAGUUAUUUAACAAAUAUGUUAUGAAAUAUUUCACUCUACUAAAACUAUUAGAGAUGAUUACCUAUUACCAAGUAAUAGUAUUUUUAAACAUUGAAUAAUUUGUUAUUACAAACUACGAAAACUAUUACAGAUGAUUUCACAACUGAUAAUUCUAUAUGUCUUAUAAGAUAUCAUAUUUAUCGUAGAGUCAUCCAAUCCUAUGGAAUCUUCGUUUGACAGUAUGAUCUACACUACACUAUAGAUCUCUUGUAAAUCAUGUUUUCUCUCAGCCCAGACUUCCUAAUAUACAAAUAUUAAUGAACCAUUUGCUAAACAACAAAACAAAAGGUUCUCGUACCUAAUAAUAGUAUUAUAAAUUAUUUUUAAUCACGAGUUCCACAUGGGCGAUGAGAUGAUAAUGACAAGAUAUUUGAGUGGACUCCACACCGCCACGCUUUCAAAUUUAGACUUCGAAUGAUACGAACCAUCCCGCUCUACACCACAGUUAACAGUAACAAAAAUCUCUACAUAUAUCAUAUAUCUAUACGUUUUUAUAAUUGUUAAAACCGUAUCUCAGUUAAACCGCUUGUCCCGCACCGCUCAAACCACAGUUACCAUUCAGAGCAACUAAAACAUUGUGAAUUAGUAUAUAUUAAUACCUAGGCAAAGACUCCUAUUCAUAUGAUUUUAUGAUCAUAAAAGUCCAAUAUUGGUUGAGGAACAGGUUAUCAUUUUAGAAUGUGAGAUACUCUCUAAUAUUGGUUGAAUUGUAACGGUAGAAAAUUUACUUUAAAAUUUAGUCUAUAAGAUUUUUUGAUUUACCUUUAAGAGAUGUAACUUUCAAAUUUCCUACAAACAAAAAGAUUGAGCUUUAGAAAAUAAGAUUUUUACAGUUAUUUUUUUUUGUUUUUUUUUUGUUGUAGCUUUAAUUUUUUGGUUGUAGCUUUAAAAACUAAUAUAAAGCAUGAUUUGUGAUUUUUAAGCCCGUAGAUAAAAAUUAAAGCUAAAAUCACUUGCUACACCCCAACCAAUCACCCCAAUUAUUGAUCAUGUAUUAAUAAGUAAAUGAUUUAUUUCCUUUAAAAUAAAAUAAGAUUAAGACUAGAGGUCGUUAUCUCAACUAGAAAUGACAUUGGCUAUUGCAUCAACCAUUGUCAUGACUAAUAAAUAAAUCUAAUAUUACAUAUUGUAGUUUCGGAUCUAAAGCAAUUACGGGUAUCAGCCCUAAAAUUGCUGGUGUUUAAAUUUUUUUGUUUGUUUGAAUUGAAUGUUAAAUUGAAUUCAAAACGAAAAAUGUACUUUGCUUUACAUCAAGUGUAACAUUUCUAAAAUUUUCAGAGAAUAAAAUCUAUCAUCUCCUAACUUGUUUUAUCUUGUGCUGAACCAAUAUACCAUUCCACCUUCAAACUAUUUUACUCCCUUCUUCCUUAUGAUAGAAAAUUUAUUCCUCAUGUUUUUGUCAAUCAUUUUGAUUAACAAAGUUGCAGGUGAAGGAGACUCUCCAUGUCUUCUUCUGUUUCUCUCCCUCCAAAUAGUGUGGAUUGCAGUUUGAAGAACAUAUCUCACUAUAAAGAGCUUGAGUUUCCCUUGGGUAUGAUCCAAAGCUAUCCUGAUUACUCUCCUCCAAUUCGAUGUGUAAUGAUUCUCCAGCACUCCCUUCAUCAAAACUUCCCAUAUCUGAGCAUAGUAUGGGCACUCAAAGAAUAAAUGCGAGAUGGACUCAACCGUAUUCUGGCAAAGCACACAAGCAGUGUCAACAUUCCCACUCCAUCUACUCAUUCUUUCACAUGUUGGAAGUAUGUCAUGCAAGGCAGUCCAUAGCAUAAAUGAGAAUUUUGGAGUAGCAUAUUUGAACCAAACUGCCUUGUACCAAUAACAACUCUGACGCUUCUCUUUGAUAACUUCCCAUGUUUCUUUCACCGAGAAAGAGUUUUUGUAAUCUCCUUUUCCAUUCUUCAAUAAUGAUAUGUCUUCCUCCUCAACUAUAUUAGCUUUAUAUCUCUCUAUCUCCAUCUCAACUCUAUUAAAGAUGGGAGCUCGAUGAUGUCUCCUUCUAUGUUUUCUACAGACCUUGACAUUUGCAUUUACUGAGAUUCCCAUAUCAAUAUGACCUCUAUCUUGUAUAAUAUCUUUCAGACAUCCCAAAGAUGACCAAGAGUCAUACCAGAACGAAGCCUUUUGCCGUUUUUCACUUCCACCCGAUAUAGCUUCUUUGCAACUUCUCUACAUUUUAGAAUUUUCUUCCACACAUCCAAGACCAUGUCUAUGUCGUUUCUUUGAUUGACCACAAUGAUGCUUUCCUUAUCAAAUACACCUUUAUCCAAUUAACCCAAAGAGUAUUAGCCGAUAGAAUCCUCCACACUAGCUUCAAACUGCAUACCAAAUUCACAUCCUUCAGUCGUCUUACUCCUAACCCACCUUCUUGUUUGGGUUUACAAACAUCUACCCAAGAAACUAGCCUUUCGCCCAUUUAGCUCUGAUCCAGACCAUAAGAAAGUCGAACAUAGUUUUUCAACUUCUUUGAUGCAAUAACUUCGGAGUCUAAAAGCCGCCAUCCAGAAAUUAGCCAAACUUGUAAUUACAAAGUUGAUCAACUGCAGUCGUCCAGCGUAUGACAGAAAUAUGUUCAUCCAGGAACUGAUCCUUUUUCUGAUCUUUUCAGUCAGAGGGAGAAAAUCUAAAACUGUCAUACUCUUUGUUAGCAGAGGGAGUCCUAGAUAGCGUACCGGCAGAGAUCCAGCUGCAAAUGGAAAUUGACGAAGAAUGUCUUCUUGAUUUUGACUUGAGAUACCCGCCAUGAACAACGUAGACUUCUCCAAACUUAUCUUAAGCCCAGUCAUUUUAUCAAACUUCUGAAAUACUCUUAAAAUCCCCUCCACAGAACUCUUCUUCCCAUCAGAAAAAACCAUCAAAUCGUCAGCAAAACAUAGAUGGGUAAGGUCUAUGUUCUUGCACCUCGGGUGAUAUCCUAUCUCCUCCUUCUUUGCUGCUGUGUCUAACAUCUUCGACAAUACAUUCAUACUAAUAACAAAUAAGUAUGGAGACAGUGAGCACCCCUGCCUCAACCCUCUUGCACUUUGAAAAUACCAUGCUAGCUCCCCAUUUAUUUGCACUGAGAAUGAAGCCGUCGUGAUGCAAAGUGAGAUCCAAUGUACAGCGUCUUUAGAAGGAAACACCAUUGAACUGAAUCAAAAGCUUUUGAUAUGUCAAUUUUUAUUGCACAACGAGAUGAGAUAGAAUCCUUAUGAUAAUCUUUUACCAGCUCUGUGGCAAGUAGCACGUUCUCCAUAAGCAAUCUUUCUUUGAUAAAUGCAGAUUGGUUUACUGAAAUACAUUUCGGCAGUAAUAAUCUUCAGUCUAUUCGCAAUAAGCUUCGAGAUUACCUUAUAUAUUACAUUGCAACAUGAGAUUGGCCGGUAAUCCUUCAUCUCCUUUGCCUCUUCUUUCUUUGGUAUUAAAGCUAGGAUUGUCGAGUUUAAUCCUUUUGGUAAGAACCCUUUCAAGAAGAAAGAUUGAACAGCCACUGUAACAUCAUCUCCUAUCACCAACCACGACUCCUUGAAGAAUUCUGAGGUUUUAAAAAAAUUAAGUUUAUCCAACCAAAAAACUAUGUAAAAAUUUGGGUCUGUCAUGAAUAUUUUAUUCAAAAUUAAUUGGCAGUAAAUGAUAUAGUAAGAUUUCAUCGUUUAGUAACAUUCUUUUUACGUUCAUUUAUAGGCAAUUAUGGGAACAACAUCUACAAAGUCAUCCAUCAUUAGGUAGCUCUAAUACCAUAUAAGUUUUUGGAUUUUCAAUCUAAAACUAAUUGGCUGUAAGUUGUCGGCUCAAAUUUCUUGUAUAUUACGCAUGUUCCAUCAAAACUCAUGAUGUCAAAGCUUAAAUAUUUGCACAGACUCUCGAAAUAAUAGUCUAUAUAACCAUUAAUCUAGAUAAUAUCUCAACUCUAUAAAUCAAAUUUGGUCAGACCAACCGAACCAUUUAGAUCCGACUGAUUUAAGAAAAAUAUUUGAUAGGUUACUCGACUUAAACUCGCUAUCUGACUCGUACUCGCCUUGAAAAUUCAAGUAUUCGGUGUUUUCAAGGCAAGUAACAAGUCGACAAUUUUCAUUACUUGCAAGACCAAGUUAAGUGUCAAGUAUCAUUAUUAUUUUUAUUACUUGACUCGUUACUUGACCCAUUACUUGCUAUUUAUUACAUGAUCUGUUAAAUAAUUGUUUAUAUAUGUCUUUUUACUUGCAUUUAGAAUUAGACAUAAAUACUCAUUUAUCUUCUUAUACUUGUUACUUGUUUCGUAUCCGUCUUUAUUUUUAAAUUCUUGCCGUCAUCUAGUGAACUAUUUUAUAGUAACCAAUAUUAAAAAAAUUAGCUAUAUGGCUUGUUAUUACAUGUUAUUUGCUUAGAGAAGAUUUUUUUGUCAUUGUGAAAAUUAUAUAAUGCUUAUAUAUCGAAAUAUUCAUAUAUUUUUAUUUGUCUCCUUUAUAAUAUAAACAAAUAUUUGGUUUAAAGGAAUUCACAUGUUAGUUUAAGUAGAAUACACAAAACAAACUUUCAUGUUUAUUUCUAACAGAGUAUUAUUUAGUAAGUAGUUUUUAAAUAAUCAGAAAACUCGUAAAUAGUUCACAAGUACUCGUAAAUAGUAACUAAUAAAGCAAGAUAAAUAACUUGUAAGUAAUUUAUUUUUGAUCAAGUAUUCAAACUGGUAAGUAUUCGUUUUUAACAAGUCAAGUACAAGUCGAAAAUUUUAUUACUUGUAUAAGGCAAGUUAAGUAGCAAGUACACGCAAAAUAGUGAAUACUCGCCUUCUGCCCAGCCCUAAUCUCAACCAUUGUUUUUAUUACAACACACAAGAUUUGAGGCUCAAAGACAAGAAAAAAUGGGCAGGCCAGGUAUUGUACCUCCAGAGUCAAGAAUGUAUAUAUUUCCUGAGACAUAUCGAGAAGAGUCAUGAAUGAGAUAGCGAACCAGCGAGGUAAUUCCCGGAUCCACGGUCUGCUGCACCUUUAACGGUGUAGUCCUCUCGGUCACUUUCUUAAGCCACUCUUUUUGCAGUAGACCUUGAGUGAUCUCUGACUUAAGAAUCCCCGGUGCGAUCGAGUUCACUCUUAUAUUGUACACACCUAACUCAAUAGCCAUCAUCUUUGUCAUGAUGUCAACACCGCUUUUAGAACAAGAAUAUGCGACUCCACCGGGUAACAUACCGCGGUGGAGACCGGCGAUGGACGAGAUGUUUAUCACCGAGCCACCGCUUUUAGCGUCCCUCAUUAAACUGCAGACGUAUUUGGAUACUAACCAAGCUCCGGUUAAGUUGGUUCUGAAGACUCUGUCCCACUCGUCUUCAGACAAGUGCAAACACGUCUUGACAUUGCCUCUGAUUCCAGCGUUGUUGAUCAACACAUCUAUCUUUCCAAAGAUGUCCCAAGCUUGUUUGACCGCUUUCUGAAUGGUGGCUGCGUCUGAUGAAACGUCUAGCUCGA
Molecule: long non-coding RNA, 39767 nt
Filed under: Brassica rapa (field mustard)
Lineage: Eukaryota; Viridiplantae; Streptophyta; Magnoliopsida; Brassicales; Brassicaceae
Description: long non-coding RNA (BRAP_LNC002664)
Source: RNAcentral